This is a long non-coding RNA of Lingula anatina, 187 nucleotides long. The record is from RefSeq and is a predicted model, not a curated record. NCBI's taxonomy places the organism in Eukaryota, Metazoa, Brachiopoda, Lingulata, Lingulida, Lingulidae.
GCCCUGGCAUCGUGUUCGCUGACAGCUGGGACAGAUCAACAACCUGUGAAGAGCCGCCAUGUACAGCAUCCUGAUCCUCGCAUUGGUGGGCAGUGCCCUCGCCAGAUACGACGAGCACCAUCUCCCCCCAAAAUUCUUCGAUUUCUGCAAGAAAUGCAUCGAAGAGAGAAACGGCGUGGGCUACUAC